AGUGAACGCUGGCGGCGUGCUUAACACAUGCAAGUCGAACGAGAACGGAUUAUAGCUUGCUAUAAUUGUCAGCUAAGUGGCGCACGGGUGAGUAAUGUAUAGGUAAUAUGCCUCUUACUAAGGGAUAACAAAUGGAAACGUUUGCUAAUACCUUAUACUCCUUAUUAACAGAAGUUAAUAAGGGAAAGAUUUAUUGGUAAGAGAUUAGCCUGUAUUGUAUCAGUUAGUUGGUGGGGUAAUGGCUUACCAAGACUAUGACACAUAACUGGUUUGAGAGGAUGAUCAGUCACACUGGAACUGAGACACGGUCCAGACUCCUACGGGAGGCAGCAGUGGGGAAUAGUGCACAAUGGACGAAAGUCUGAUGCAGCAACGCCGCGUGGAGGAUGACACAUUUCGGUGCGUAAACUCCUUUUAUAUGGGAAGAUAAUGACGGUAUUAUAUGAAUAAGCACCGGCUAACUCCGUGCCAGCAGCCGCAGUAA
Molecule: ribosomal RNA, 484 nt
Filed under: uncultured bacterium
Lineage: Bacteria
Description: partial 16S ribosomal RNA
Rfam family: Bacterial small subunit ribosomal RNA
Source: RNAcentral